AUAUUGUCUUUUCUUUGUUACAACUAUUACAAAUACUCAUUAAAAACUAUUACGUAAGAUUUUAUCGAGCAAUGGUUAUUUAAUCAUUGACUUAAAAUCAAAAUGCCAUGGCCUUUGAUUUUAGGCAAUGACUACAAAAGUAGCGGGCAAAAAACUAUUGAUAAAUUCAUUAGAUAAUGAUUUUGGAUCUUCAUAUUGCAUUUUUGACUGCACC
Molecule: long non-coding RNA, 214 nt
Filed under: Elaeis guineensis (African oil palm)
Lineage: Eukaryota; Viridiplantae; Streptophyta; Magnoliopsida; Arecales; Arecaceae
Description: long non-coding RNA (EGUI_LNC016960)
Source: RNAcentral